Molecule: transfer RNA, 72 nt
Filed under: Heterocephalus glaber (naked mole-rat)
Lineage: Eukaryota; Metazoa; Chordata; Mammalia; Rodentia; Bathyergidae
Rfam family: tRNA
About the family: Transfer RNA (tRNA) molecules are approximately 80 nucleotides in length. Their secondary structure includes four short double-helical elements and three loops (D, anti-codon, and T loops).
Source: Rfam by way of RNAcentral
UGGGGUGUAGCUCAGUAGUAAAGCACUUGCCUGGCAUGCACAAGGGGUUGGGUUUGAUUCCCAGCACCACAA